Long non-coding RNA from Zonotrichia leucophrys gambelii, 563 nucleotides. RefSeq lists it as uncharacterized. Lineage: Eukaryota; Metazoa; Chordata; Aves; Passeriformes; Passerellidae. The record is from RefSeq and is a predicted model, not a curated record. The transcript has 3 exons.
GAACAGAGGACAAGGCUGUGUGGUGGGGCGGGUGACAACUCGGUGACAUCCUCUGCUGCAGCAGCCUGGCUGAGGAGUCCCUCCCAUGGAAGACAGUCCUCCAUGAAUUUCUGCAAGGGCCGCAGUUCCUGCCAGGAGCCUGCUGCAGCAUGUGCUUCCAUGGGGUCACAGCCUCCUUUGGGCAUCCACCUGCUCCAGCGUGGGGUCCUCCACAGUGGAGGAGUGUCUGCUCCACUCCAUGGGCUCCAGAGGCACAGCCUGCCCUCAUAUGGGCUGUGCCAUGGGCUGCAGGGGAACCUCUGCUCUGGCACCUGGAUCACCUCCUCCCCCUCCUCCUUCACUGACCUUGGUGUCUGCAGGGCUGUUUCUCUGACAUGUUCUCACUCCUCUCUCCAGCUGCAGUUGCUCUCAUUUUCUCAAAGGUGCUACCAUCAUCAGUGACGGGCUCAGCACUGGCCAGAUUCGGAUCCAUUUAGGUCUGGCUGUCAAUGGCUCCAUUGGACAUGGGGGAAACUUCUGGCAGCUUCUCACAGAGGCCACCCUUAGAGCACCCCACUAAAAAA